This is a non-coding RNA of Exophiala bonariae, 143 nucleotides long. Lineage: Eukaryota; Fungi; Ascomycota; Eurotiomycetes; Chaetothyriales; Herpotrichiellaceae. The record is from the annotation of a RefSeq genome assembly.
GACACUUUGGCGGAGUGGUUAACGCGAUGCCCUGCUAUCCUCUAGUCUAGGCAUUUCCUUCGGGGUAUGUGAAUUCCUGGCUCAAGUGGUCAACCAAAAACUAACUCUCACCUAGAGCGCAGGUUCGAAUCCUGCAGGUGUCG